This 259-nucleotide ribosomal RNA is filed under the name uncultured bacterium. RNAcentral describes it as "partial 16S ribosomal RNA". It matches the Rfam family "Bacterial small subunit ribosomal RNA", at positions 96 to 354 of the family's 1533-position model. The record is from RNAcentral.
UGGCGGACGGGUGAGUAACGCGUGGAAAACCUGCCGUAUACUAGGGGGAUAACACUUAGAAAUAGGUGCUAAUACCGCAUAAGCGCACAGCUUCGCAUGAAGCGGUGUGAAAAACUCUGGUGGUAUACGAUGGUUCCGCGUCUGAUUAGCUAGUUGGUGGGGUAAUGGCCUACCAAGGCAACGAUCAGUAGCCGGCCUGAGAGGGUGAACGGCCACAUUGGGACUGAGACACGGCCCAAACUCCUACGGAAGGCAGCAG